AACGAACGCUGGCGGCAUGCCUAACACAUGCAAGUCGAACGAGACCUUCGGGUCUAGUGGCGCACGGGUGCGUAACGCGUGGGAACCUGCCCUUAGGUUCGGCAUAACUCCCCGAAAGGGGUGCUAAUACCGGAUAAUGUCUUCGGACCAAAGAUUUAUCGCCUUUGGAUGGGCCCGCGUUGGAUUAGCUAGUUGGUAGGGUAAAAGCCUACCAAGGCGACGAUCCAUAGCUGGUCUGAGAGGAUGAUCAGCCACACUGGGACUGAGACACGGCCCAGACUCCUACGGGAGGCAGCAGUGGGGAAUAUUGGACAGUGGGCGAAAGCCUGAUCCAGCAAUGCCGCGUGAGUGAUGAAGGCCUUAGGGUUGUAAAGCUCUUUUACCCGGGAUGAUAAUGACAGUACCGGGAGAAUAAGCUCCGGCUAACUCCGUG
Molecule: ribosomal RNA, 433 nt
Filed under: uncultured bacterium
Lineage: Bacteria
Description: partial 16S ribosomal RNA
Rfam family: Bacterial small subunit ribosomal RNA
Source: RNAcentral